GGAUAUUUUCGCUUGCCUAUUUUUCCUGCUUACCACACAUGAAAUUCAAGAACUGACUGUUCACUUGCUUCUUAAUAUGCCUUGACAGGUGUGAUUGUAAUGAUAUAAUCAAUAUUAUUCACUUCACCUGUCAGUGGUUUUAAUGUUGUGGCUGAUCAGUUUAGCUUGCUUUUGAAUAUGAAACAAUUAUUACAGAGAAUUAAAUCUAGCAUUUCUAAAACAACGAUAUAUCUGCAUCAAAUCUGCUUUUUGAAGUUCAAUGGAUCUAUUUAUGUGAAAUUUAAGAAUACUGGAUUCAAUGACAUAUCAUCAUCAAGAUCCCUAAGUACAGUAUUUGUAUCAAAUAAAUAAGAUGGAG
Molecule: non-coding RNA, 358 nt
Organism: Pelobates cultripes (western spadefoot toad)
Lineage: Eukaryota; Metazoa; Chordata; Amphibia; Anura; Pelobatidae
Source: the annotation of a GenBank genome assembly